GCUCCUGCUCUUUCGAGACUUUGACCAUCCUCUUGACUUGCCUCUUUUCCUUCCUCUUUCAGAUCUCUCCCCCACGGCCAAGCCCUCCUGAGGAGCACCUUCCUUGGUCAACUUCUCUUGCUGUUCAUUGGAUCGCAACAUCGAGACCAUAUCUUCAUACUCUAAGGUCUCCUUGCCGUAGAGCAGCGUCGCACCAAUGGAUAUAAGAAGGGGGCAGCGAGCAUAGCAAUAGCAGCGACUUAUCUUCCUCCUCCAUCUUCACCC
RNAcentral lists this long non-coding RNA (264 nucleotides) under Elaeis guineensis (African oil palm). Its description in RNAcentral is "long non-coding RNA (EGUI_LNC063776)". The record is from RNAcentral. Lineage: Eukaryota; Viridiplantae; Streptophyta; Magnoliopsida; Arecales; Arecaceae.